Molecule: long non-coding RNA, 1362 nt
Organism: Bombina bombina (fire-bellied toad)
Lineage: Eukaryota; Metazoa; Chordata; Amphibia; Anura; Bombinatoridae
Exons: 3
Source: RefSeq, a predicted model, not a curated record
GUGAGGUAUAAUGUAUAUGAAUAUACACAUAUAUAUGUAUGUGUUUAUAUGUGUAUUUACAUAUAUUAACACAUAAAUAAAUAUUUAUAUAAGCGUAUACAUAUAUAUUUACUGGGAACACACAGUCCCCAAAGACCACAAUGUGAAGGCACUUUUCAGUGCCGUUUUUUUUUUCUAAUGCCCCACACCUGCCAUAUUUAGCCCCCAAAAAUUUCUUAGUGCAGUUGUGUUUUUUUCUAAAAAUACAUGCUACAUUUUCCUUUUAAAAAAAAAAGGGACUUCACAAGCUAUUUUGCUGGCAAAGUGGUAAAAAAUUAACCAGAGGUCUGAACUGUGGUUAAUUUUUUUGAGCACUAAUUGUACUUGUACACUUGUAAUGACUGAUUAUUUAUUGCGAGCCUAUAAACAGGUGAAUUAGCCCAUUUGCGUGCGCUCAAUAAAUUAGGGCUCCACUUGUAACAUAGCCCUUAAUGGGCUAAGGGGUUGAAUUGCCUCAAUUUCAACUCAUAUUGCAAUUGAAAGUAAAGGAAAUCGCUCCAAUGCUAAUGCAUUUACCGCUCAUGCUUUCAAUUUCAUUUUCAGUAUGAAGAUAAGAAGAUGGACCGCCGCUGGGAUGAAGAUGGGCCACCGCUGGGAUGAAGAUGGAGCACCACCACCCGGAUUCAUCUUUGAACAACAUGAGGAUGUCUGUGUGGAAGAGGAGGUCAAUGCACAGGAGGACCAACCUUUUGUUCAUGAAACCACAUCUCAGGAACCUCAACCUUCAACUUCCCAAGCAAAUAGAGAUAGAGAAGAAAGCGCAUAAGAAGAAGAACAGGUCGAAUUGACACUGGAACCACUAGUCGAGGACACCAUCAAUCAAGAGAAUGAUGAUGAUGAGACCCAAAUACAUGGUCACACACACAGGAGGGACCAACACCACCUGAUUUAAAUACACCUGCUGCGAGUACAAUGGUCAACGAAUCUGACAUUGAGGAAACAGCCGAAGAAGUCAGACAACCUCCAAUUACAGAGCGAACCAAUGACAUACAGGGACUGACAGAUAUGGCAUCAUCAUUUAGAAAUGAACAAAGUGGUUUUUUAAGGAACUAAUUGAAUUACAGAAAGAAAGGAACAAUAUUCUAAAACGUGAUUCAGAAAUAAAAAGUGAUUACUAUAAAAGAAAAUUAGAAAUUCUGAAUCGUAGAUCUCAGAAUUGAUACACAUAAUCCCAAAAAUUCUGUGUAUAUAUUUUUUUGUUUUUCAUUUUGUUGUCGUUUAAAUUUAUUUAAGCUUUGUUUGUUUGAAAGUUUGUAUUAUUUAAUAUUUAUAUAUAGUCUGGUUUGGUUAUAUUUUCAAUAAAGAUAUUUAUCCCUUAAUAAA